Molecule: long non-coding RNA, 1244 nt
Filed under: Homo sapiens (human)
Lineage: Eukaryota; Metazoa; Chordata; Mammalia; Primates; Hominidae
Description: HSALNT0059306
Source: RNAcentral
CAUCCACCCACUCUCCUCAGCUCUCAGCUGGAACUGGAGCCUGACCCUGAGCAUGACAUUUGGCAUAGUCGUUGGCAGGAUGAGAUAAUCCUCUCUCCACAACUUGAUAAUGCACAAACUGCAAAUCUUCUGGUACUCACUGCUGCAAGCAAACUUGAAGUCUUUCUGAGCCUGACUCUUCAUUCCUGCCUUGUGUGACCCAGGGAUGGAGGACUGCCCUCCCAACUCAUUAUCCUCUUUGCCCAGGAGCUGUACAUACAAAGGUGGUGAUUCCAAAGAAUUAGAGCAAACAAGCUGGAGCUGGAAUCUGUCCUGUUAUAAAAAAUCUGUUCCGCCCAAUCACGAGAAUGUAUGGGUCAAGGUUACAGCCAAUGCCUGCAAAUCACCACCGUGUGUUUCAUUGAAGAAAGUGCCCUGCUCAACCUCAAAUUCUUAUCUUUCAAAUGAUGAAGAAAAUGUCACCUUAUGGACAUCAUCAAAAUCUUCUUUCUGUAAUUGAAAUGGAAUUAAAAGUGAUUUCCUUGGUUUACAGCAAUAGCUAUAAAAUAAACCAAGCUGUCUCUUUGUUUAUUCUUCAGAAAAGUGAAACACUUGAGUUACAAGGAAUAAUCAGAGACUAAUGCCAAGACAUCCCUGAGAGUCCUCCAGAAUGAUGGAGAACCACAUUCCAUCUCUCUAAAUUGGGAGCAUAUUGUAGCUUUGCAGCAUAGCAAUAGGAGGUAUCUUUCUGGGUCAUGGCUUGAUGUUGCAGAAGUGGCAGUGGAGCCUCCAAAAUCCCUGCCUUCCUCAUCCCUUCCAGCUCCACAGGGCUCUGGAGAGGCAGACAAGGUUCUGCAAUGCUCACCUCAAAAACAGUGCUGUAGGAAGCACUUGGCGGGGUACUGCAGUCAUAAACACUCCGGGAUUCCAAGAUCCUGACAGAUGCCUAUGUCACCAAAACUCAAAUUUUAUACUUGGCUUCAUGUGAUACUCUUUUUUAUGAUGCAUAUAUGAUAUGGAACAACUGCUGCUAUGGAAUCACCCAGAAUAAAAGUGACCCUCUUGGAAAUGCCUCCAUGUAUGUGUGAGUGAGUGAGUGACAAGCUGUGACUUGUACUGUCUACUCUGUGUAGCACCUGGGAAAUGUGUCCACCUUGCUCCUUGUCACAGUCUGACUGUGGCUACACUACGCGUCGGUGAUCACUGUCCAUCGGGCAGAAACUCUCUCCUGAUUCUUGCAUGAAAAAAACACUAGUUCAUUCAUC